ACACGUGGGGCCCGUCCGGCUGCGGAGAGCAAGAACACGCGGGGGUGGGGCAGAAACGGACAAAGACUGGGGAGCACGGGGACAGAGCUAAGGGACACUAAAGCACUCAGCAGAGAAGAGACUUUGGGUUUGCUCUCUGUGGAAACACAUCCAGCCUCUGAACCCUCCGAGGACCAGGUACUCGUGGCUGGAGAGCCUGUCUCUGAGACUCUUCCUAUGAUUACAUAGCCCUGAUGUGCUAGAAGCAAAGGGUAAACUAGAGAUGGGAGGACUCCACUGAGCAUCACCUGAAAGAGAGCCCCAAAGCCCAACUCCCAGCAUGUUGUUGCCCAAGCCCAGAACUCCCAGGUCAGAAAACAUGCUUCAAGCACCAGAAAGGAGCCAUGCCAGUAUAAUAGAGCCACAGUCAGGAUCCCACCAGAUAGCAGCCACUACACUACAGGAGUGGAAGGCUUCAAAAAUGACAUUGGGAUUUCUACCAACAAUAACCUAUCGAGCAAAACAGUAUAAGCCUCCCCCCACCCCCACCCCCCCAAUGGAGAAAACUGCAACCCAAUGGAUAUUUAAGGAGAUUGAGGACUUGCAAGCAUUCCUGAUGAAAAGACCCGAGCUGAAGAGAAAAGUUGACUUUGACCUGCAGGACUCAGGAGAAGCAUCAAAAGGGCCCAACUUUGGACACUCCUCUCCAUUCUGAAGCCAUGGCUAGGGCCCCCAGCCAAGCUGUUCGUCAAAUGCUCUCUGGUGGCUGGUGGCUACAGACUACAUCUGCUCCCUCUGCCCUGAAACUGAAAUCUGGGACUCUGCUCUCUUGAAAGUGCUACAGCCAGCAAGAUCCCUACUCCUAUGGUACUGCAUUCACCAGGUAUGUGCUCAUUUCUUCUCUCUAGCUGCAGCCUGGGACCAUAUCUUAUCAGUUUACAUGUGUUUCCCAUUUCUUGACAAUGGAAGGUCCUUCAGUCUUCUACUCAGCCUUUGGACUAGCACACUGUUUUUGAGGUGAAAGUUCUUGAGGCUGAGUCUGCCUUCCAACCCAACCGCCCCCGGGACUUGUUUAUAGAUUCUAUGGAGUGUCGGAGAUGUUUGCUCUUCACUUAGGCCGAACUUCCCUUGAGGAAGUCUUUCCUGGGGUCUUCUCAUGUUGUCUUAGGACAGCUGCUUUACCCUGAUUAUUGUUAAUAUCUGCUGUUUUAUGUUCCUUCUGAAACAUUGUUCUUUUUGUGUGUGUGUGUGUGGAAGAAAUUUGAAGUGCUGAAAGUUUUCUCAGUUAUUUUGUCAUCUCCAUCAGAUUUAAUUCUUGCCUUGAAUCUUGAGGGUUUCUAUGGACAUACUUGUCCCCACUCUGCCUCCAUCACCAUCCCACAAUGCUAUACACCUUGCCUCCACAGCUCUCAAGGCUCAGGUCCUGGAAGGCAAAAAUUGAAUGAAUGAAAUAUGGCCAUUUUCUUUUUGUAUUAUGAGCUUGCUGGUCAUCAUCAAACUCACAAUUCAAAUCCAGAGAAAAGAUCAUGAACUUAUGUCAUGUGCAGUUUUUCUGUGUUUAUUAACUUAGUAACAAAAUGACUAUUUUGUUUCUGUGCCCUCUUCAGAACUUAUUUUUGUAAUUUGAUGCUAUGUUUCUUGGGGUAUAAUAGCAUAGAAGCACUGAACCCCCACAAUAUAUUGGGCUUCCAGGAUUUGAUGUGAAUUAUCUCCUCCUGUCAGGAAGAAGUCCAAAUAUUAUCAGAUAUAACCAAUUCCCAAACUAUUCUGAUUGAGGGAUCAUGAAGGUGGAACUCUUUUUUUCUAUCCCUCCAACCUCUGUGCAUCUUCAAACAACCUUAUUGAAAUAAAUAAGUAAAAUGGAAUAUAUACAUUUUAAAAUUGAGUCAAUAUGUAGCCCCCAAGGAGCUUUAUGCAUAGAUUAAUAGUCCUACAAUUCUAUCUGAGUUUGACCCUAAUGAUGUGGUUCUAGUACCAGAAUGUUGACAGACACCAAAAGUUGGGCUUCCGUCAUGUGAAGAAUUCACCCUGGCCAUUCUCUUUGACAAAAAGUAGAUUGAUUUAGGGAAAUAGGUUAUGGACAAAAUGAAGGGAUACAAUAGGCACUGGAAAUGGUAGAUAUGAAAGAGAGUGGCAGAGCCUAUGAAAGAGAAGUUCCUCAGUGGGACUCACAAGUACCCAGCAGAAGGGGAGCCCCCCAUGAGAUUGGGGCUUGCCCUUAGCUGGCAGGGUGAAGGGGACUUAGCGCCCCAAAAGCCUUAGUUGUAGGGAAGAGAAGUGGGGCUGGCAAGCAGAGUGGAGUUAGGAGAUACCAUGUGGCAUGGGGGAGGGGUAAGUGAGUAUGGCAUGGGCCUAAGUAGAUUUUAUAAGGAAAACUUACCGUCAGGGACAUGACUGAGAUUUCUACAGAGUCGGGUGAGCCUCAGGAUUUCAGACUGGAGAACCUCUCCAGGGGCUGGGGCCACAAAGCUAAACUGACCUCUCUCAGAGCCUCCUGCCUGCCUGCCUGCUGCCUGCCUCGGGGAUCAAUUUUUGUUUCUCUUGGUUCAAAACCACAUCCAGGACCUCACCAUUCCCCACUCUUUUAAUUUAUUAUCAAAAUCUUUUGAAGAGUGGCUCGGGGGUCCCUAAACAGAAGGGGGUCUAUUAGACCGAAGCCAAGUUUUAGGGGCCAAAUCCACACUUGUGUCAAAAACGGGAGUGAAUU
This is a long non-coding RNA of Sarcophilus harrisii (Tasmanian devil), 2686 nucleotides long. RefSeq lists it as uncharacterized. NCBI's taxonomy places the organism in Eukaryota, Metazoa, Chordata, Mammalia, Dasyuromorphia, Dasyuridae. The record is from RefSeq and is a predicted model, not a curated record. The transcript has 3 exons.